UACGGGGGGGGCAAGCGUUGCUCGGAAUCACUGGGCGUAAAGCGCACGUAGGCGGACUCUUAAGUCGGUGGUGAAAUCCUGGAGCUCAACUCCAGAACUGCCUUCGAUACUGAGAGUCUCGAGUCCGGGAGAGGUGAGUGGAACUGCGAGUGUAGAGGUGAAAUGCGUAGAUAUUGGGAAGAACACCUGAGGCGAAGGCGGGUUGCUGGGCCGACACUGACGCUGAUGCGCGAAAGCCAGGGGAGCGAACGGG
Molecule: ribosomal RNA, 253 nt
Filed under: uncultured bacterium
Lineage: Bacteria
Description: partial 16S ribosomal RNA
Rfam family: Bacterial small subunit ribosomal RNA
Source: RNAcentral